RNAcentral lists this ribosomal RNA (222 nucleotides) under Citrobacter freundii. RNAcentral describes it as "partial 16S ribosomal RNA". It matches the Rfam family "Bacterial small subunit ribosomal RNA", at positions 1016 to 1238 of the family's 1533-position model. Lineage: Bacteria; Pseudomonadati; Pseudomonadota; Gammaproteobacteria; Enterobacterales; Enterobacteriaceae. RNAcentral also lists the same sequence under 1 other name. The record is from RNAcentral.
GCCUUCGGGAACUCUGAGACAGGUGCUGCAUGGCUGUCGUCAGCUCGUGUUGUGAAAUGUUGGGUUAAGUCCCGCAACGAGCGCAACCCUUAUCCUUUGUUGCCAGCGGUUCGGCCGGGAACUCAAAGGAGACUGCCAGUGAUAAACUGGAGGAAGGUGGGGAUGACGUCAAGUCAUCAUGGCCCUUACGAGUAGGGCUACACACGUGCUACAAUGGCAUAU